RNAcentral lists this ribosomal RNA (2900 nucleotides) under Klebsiella pneumoniae MGH 74. RNAcentral describes it as "bacterial LSU rRNA". It matches the Rfam family "Bacterial large subunit ribosomal RNA". The record is from RNAcentral. Lineage: Bacteria; Pseudomonadati; Pseudomonadota; Gammaproteobacteria; Enterobacterales; Enterobacteriaceae.
UUAAGCGACUAAGCGUACACGGUGGAUGCCCUGGCAGUCAGAGGCGAUGAAGGACGUGCUAAUCUGCGAAAAGCGUCGGUAAGGUGAUAUGAACCGUUAUAACCGGCGAUGUCCGAAUGGGGAAACCCAGUGUGAUUCGUCACACUAUCGUUAACUGAAUACAUAGGUUAACGAGGCGAACCGGGGGAACUGAAACAUCUAAGUACCCCGAGGAAAAGAAAUCAACCGAGAUUCCCCCAGUAGCGGCGAGCGAACGGGGAGCAGCCCAGAGUCUGAAUCAGCUUGUGUGUUAGUGGAACGGUCUGGAAAGUCCGACGGUACAGGGUGAUAGUCCCGUACACCAAAAUGCACAGGCUGUGAACUCGAAGAGUAGGGCGGGACACGUGGUAUCCUGUCUGAAUAUGGGGGGACCAUCCUCCAAGGCUAAAUACUCCUGACUGACCGAUAGUGAACCAGUACCGUGAGGGAAAGGCGAAAAGAACCCCGGCGAGGGGAGUGAAAAAGAACCUGAAACCGUGUACGUACAAGCAGUGGGAGCACCUUCGGGUGUGACUGCGUACCUUUUGUAUAAUGGGUCAGCGACUUAUAUUCUGUAGCAAGGUUAACCGUAUAGGGGAGCCGCAGGGAAACCGAGUCUUAACUGGGCGUUAAGUUGCAGGGUAUAGACCCGAAACCCGGUGAUCUAGCCAUGGGCAGGUUGAAGGUUGGGUAACACUAACUGGAGGACCGAACCGACUAAUGUUGAAAAAUUAGCGGAUGACUUGUGGCUGGGGGUGAAAGGCCAAUCAAACCGGGAGAUAGCUGGUUCUCCCCGAAAGCUAUUUAGGUAGCGCCUCGUGAAUUCAUCUUCGGGGGUAGAGCACUGUUUCGGCUAGGGGGUCAUCCCGACUUACCAACCCGAUGCAAACUACGAAUACCAAAGAAUGUUAUCACGGGAGACACACGGCGGGUGCUAACGUCCGUCGUGAAGAGGGAAACAACCCAGACCGCCAGCUAAGGUCCCAAAGUCAUGGUUAAGUGGGAAACGAUGUGGGAAGGCACAGACAGCCAGGAUGUUGGCUUAGAAGCAGCCAUCAUUUAAAGAAAGCGUAAUAGCUCACUGGUCGAGUCGGCCUGCGCGGAAGAUGUAACGGGGCUAAACCAUGCACCGAAGCUGCGGCAGCGACACUAUGUGUUGUUGGGUAGGGGAGCGUUCUGUAAGCCUGCGAAGGUGACCUGUGAGGGUUGCUGGAGGUAUCAGAAGUGCGAAUGCUGACAUAAGUAACGAUAAAGCGGGUGAAAAGCCCGCUCGCCGGAAGACCAAGGGUUCCUGUCCAACGUUAAUCGGGGCAGGGUGAGUCGACCCCUAAGGCGAGGCCGAAAGGCGUAGUCGAUGGGAAACAGGUUAAUAUUCCUGUACUUGGUGUUACUGCGAAGGGGGGACGGAGAAGGCUAUGUUAGCCGGGCGACGGUUGUCCCGGUUUAAGCAUGUAGGCUGGUUGUCCAGGCAAAUCCGGAUAAUCAAGGCUGAGGUGUGAUGACGAGGCACUACGGUGCUGAAGUAACAAAUGCCCUGCUUCCAGGAAAAGCCUCUAAGCAUCAGGUAACAUCAAAUCGUACCCCAAACCGACACAGGUGGUCAGGUAGAGAAUACCAAGGCGCUUGAGAGAACUCGGGUGAAGGAACUAGGCAAAAUGGUGCCGUAACUUCGGGAGAAGGCACGCUGGUGUGUAGGUGAAGUCCCUGCGGAUGGAGCUGAGACCAGUCGAAGAUACCAGCUGGCUGCAACUGUUUAUUAAAAACACAGCACUGUGCAAACACGAAAGUGGACGUAUACGGUGUGACGCCUGCCCGGUGCCGGAAGGUUAAUUGAUGGGGUUAUCCGUAAGGAGAAGCUCUUGAUCGAAGCCCCGGUAAACGGCGGCCGUAACUAUAACGGUCCUAAGGUAGCGAAAUUCCUUGUCGGGUAAGUUCCGACCUGCACGAAUGGCGUAAUGAUGGCCAGGCUGUCUCCACCCGAGACUCAGUGAAAUUGAACUCGCUGUGAAGAUGCAGUGUACCCGCGGCAAGACGGAAAGACCCCGUGAACCUUUACUAUAGCUUGACACUGAACAUUGAGCCUUGAUGUGUAGGAUAGGUGGGAGGCUUUGAAGCGUGGACGCCAGUCUGCGUGGAGCCAACCUUGAAAUACCACCCUUUAAUGUUUGAUGUUCUAACGUUGGCCCCUUACCGGGGUUGCGGACAGUGUCUGGUGGGUAGUUUGACUGGGGCGGUCUCCUCCCAAAGCGUAACGGAGGAGCACGAAGGUUAGCUAAUCCUGGUCGGACAUCAGGAGGUUAGUGCAAUGGCAUAAGCUAGCUUGACUGCGAGCGUGACGGCGCGAGCAGGUGCGAAAGCAGGUCAUAGUGAUCCGGUGGUUCUGAAUGGAAGGGCCAUCGCUCAACGGAUAAAAGGUACUCCGGGGAUAACAGGCUGAUACCGCCCAAGAGUUCAUAUCGACGGCGGUGUUUGGCACCUCGAUGUCGGCUCAUCACAUCCUGGGGCUGAAGUAGGUCCCAAGGGUAUGGCUGUUCGCCAUUUAAAGUGGUACGCGAGCUGGGUUUAGAACGUCGUGAGACAGUUCGGUCCCUAUCUGCCGUGGGCGCUGGAGAAUUGAGGGGGGCUGCUCCUAGUACGAGAGGACCGGAGUGGACGCAUCACUGGUGUUCGGGUUGUCAUGCCAAUGGCACUGCCCGGUAGCUAAAUGCGGAAGAGAUAAGUGCUGAAAGCAUCUAAGCACGAAACUUGCCCCGAGAUGAGUUCUCCCUGAGACUUUAAGUCUCCUGAAGGAACGUUGAAGACGACGACGUUGAUAGGCCGGGUGUGUAAGCGCAGCGAUGCGUUGAGCUAACCGGUACUAAUGAACCGUGAGGCUUAACCUU